Long non-coding RNA from Schistocerca gregaria, 444 nucleotides. RefSeq lists it as uncharacterized. The transcript is spliced from 2 exons. The record is from RefSeq and is a predicted model, not a curated record. NCBI's taxonomy places the organism in Eukaryota, Metazoa, Arthropoda, Insecta, Orthoptera, Acrididae.
GAAGAGCGCAUCGUAAGCACACCGCAUCCUGUAGGAGACUUCAUUUUUGCCAAGAACACUGCCGAGGAAGUAUGUUCUCGCAUCUGCUGUGUACCGUGCUAGUUCUGCACACCACAUUUGCCGAUGCAGACCACGCGGAAAAUACAACAGAACCAUCCGUAGACACUGAGGAGUAUCCAACUGUGCUGCCCGAGGACACGAAGAAUACGACCAAUCUGACCCUUUACAACGCUUUGGAUGUGCCUACCAGAUGUAGAUCAGGCUAUGCUGAUUACAACGGAAAUUGUAUCAAGACGAUCAACCUGUCAGUGCGUGACGAGAAAUGAGGAAAAGUAACCCGGUUCCAGUCAGUGUGAUGGACUGUCCAACUGAAGCACGUCGGUUACCAAUCGAACGUGGCUGUCACGUGUCUUGCAAAUAAAGAACAUCUUUAUAUGAGCUUUA